UGAGAAACGCACCUCUAGAUCGGAUUGCCCAUACCGUAAGGAAGUAAGACACCUGGGAGAUGAACAGGUAGAUAGGAUGGAAGUGGAAGUGCAGUGAUGCAUGGAGCGGACCAUUACUAAUCGGUCGAGGACUUAACCAAA
Molecule: ribosomal RNA, 141 nt
Filed under: Ligilactobacillus aviarius
Lineage: Bacteria; Bacillati; Bacillota; Bacilli; Lactobacillales; Lactobacillaceae
Description: Lactobacillus aviarius partial 23S ribosomal RNA
Rfam family: Bacterial large subunit ribosomal RNA
Source: RNAcentral